Molecule: ribosomal RNA, 468 nt
Filed under: uncultured bacterium
Lineage: Bacteria
Description: partial 16S ribosomal RNA
Rfam family: Bacterial small subunit ribosomal RNA
Source: RNAcentral
GACGAACGCUGGCGGCGUGCUUAACACAUGCAAGUCGAACGGAAAGGCCCUGCUUUUGUGGGGUGCUCGAGUGGCGAACGGGUGAGUAACACGUGAGUAACCUGCCCUUGACUUUGGGAUAACUUCAGGAAACUGGGGCUAAUACCGGAUAGGAGCUCCUGCUGCAUGGUGGGGGUUGGAAAGUUUCGGCGGUUGGGGAUGGACUCGCGGCUUAUCAGCUUGUUGGUGGGGUAGUGGCUUACCAAGGCUUUGACGGGUAGCCGGCCUGAGAGGGUGACCGGUCACAUUGGAACUGAGAUACGGCCCAGACUCUUACGGGAGGCAGCAGUGGGGAAUAUUGCACAAUGGGCGGAAGCCUGAUGCAGCAACGCCGCGUGCGGGAUGACGGCCUUCGGGUUGUAAACCGCUUUCGCCUGUGACGAAGCGUGAGUGACGGUAAUGGGUAAAGAAGCACCGGCUAACUACGUG